This 220-nucleotide long non-coding RNA is filed under the name Solanum tuberosum (potato). Its description in RNAcentral is "long non-coding RNA (STUB_LNC007484)". The record is from RNAcentral. Lineage: Eukaryota; Viridiplantae; Streptophyta; Magnoliopsida; Solanales; Solanaceae.
CGAUAUACAAGAUCUUUGCAAACUGAUCCCCAAACAAUGCGAAUUGAAGGGUGAUUACAACAAUGACAUAUUAAGUAAUAGACAUAUUUUAAUAAGGACGACUCUAUUGGAGGAUUACAUACACCUUCUAUCGAAAUCAGCCUUUUAUAUCACACAUCAAAGUUGAUCUUUCAAUGAGAAAUCUCAAAUGGGACCUAAUAUUCAAUCCGGAAGGGGAAAC